RNAcentral lists this ribosomal RNA (468 nucleotides) under uncultured bacterium. RNAcentral describes it as "partial 16S ribosomal RNA". It matches the Rfam family "Bacterial small subunit ribosomal RNA", at positions 28 to 507 of the family's 1533-position model. The record is from RNAcentral.
GACGAACGCUGGCGGCGUGCUUAACCCAUGCAAGUCGAACGGAAAGGCCCUGCUUUUGUGGGGUGCUCGAGUGGCGAACGGGUGAGUAACACGUGAGUAACCUGCCCUUGACUUUGGGAUAACUUCAGGAAACUGGGGCUAAUACCGGAUAGGAGCUCCUGCUGCAUGGUGGGGGUUGGAAAGUUUCGGCGGUUGGGGAUGGACUCGCGGCUUAUCAGCUUGUUGGUGGGGUAGUGGCUUACCAAGGCUUUGACGGGUAGCCGGCCUGAGAGGGUGACCGGCCACAUUGGGACUGAGAUACGGCCCAGACUCCUACGGGAGGCAGCAGUGGGGAAUAUUGCACAAUGGGCGGAAGCCUGAUGCAGCAACGCCGCGUGCGGGAUGACGGCCUUCGGGUUGUAAACCGCUUUCGCCUGUGACGAAGCGUGAGUGACGGUAAUGGGUAAAGAAGCACCGGCUAACUACGUG